This 217-nucleotide long non-coding RNA is filed under the name Homo sapiens (human). RNAcentral describes it as "HSALNT0190772". Lineage: Eukaryota; Metazoa; Chordata; Mammalia; Primates; Hominidae. The record is from RNAcentral.
AGGGAUUCAACAUGGAUAUGGGAAGCAGGGGUAGAGUGUUGGACAGAGCCAGAGUGGAGGCGCAUGGUGCCAGAAAGCCAAUAUCGUCACUGUGUCCAAGAGUCGUAAUACGUGUCCAGCAUGAAAGAUCAGAAUUGGAAGUAAAAAUCAAGAGUGGAGCUGUGGAGUACCCAGUGGGGGUUGUGAAGGAAGACGACAAUAAAGAUUUGUGUGUGGA